Long non-coding RNA from Pogoniulus pusillus (Red-fronted tinkerbird), 403 nucleotides. RefSeq lists it as uncharacterized. The transcript is spliced from 3 exons. NCBI's taxonomy places the organism in Eukaryota, Metazoa, Chordata, Aves, Piciformes, Lybiidae. The record is from RefSeq and is a predicted model, not a curated record.
UGGUUUGUUUCUCCUUUUCUGGAGACGUACCUGGAGAUGUGGGAGCUGGCAGCCCUCUACAGCAGAGUGCUCUGUCUUUGGACUGCCUCUAGGGUGGGGGCCAGCAUUGCCUCUGCAGAAGAGGAACAAGGUAACCUUCCCAGCCCCUCUUUGUACCAGAGCUGCUGUGCUGUGCUGUGUGAUUAAGUACUGAUAAUCACCAAGGACUGAAAGGACGUAGCGGAGGAUUGCUGGACAGCCUGCUUGCCUCUGUGGGAGGCUCCAUGCCCCUGUGCUUGUGCUGGGGAGGAGCAAGGAAGCAGCUUCUAAGACAGAAUCCCAAAAUGUGUGUGUUGCCAGCUGGCCCAGUUCUUCUGCCGUCACCCAUGGGGAGUCACGACCGCUGUGAAGAACCUGUGCUCCU